RNAcentral lists this ribosomal RNA (104 nucleotides) under Escherichia coli. RNAcentral describes it as "partial 16S ribosomal RNA". It matches the Rfam family "Bacterial small subunit ribosomal RNA", at positions 1 to 97 of the family's 1533-position model. The record is from RNAcentral. Lineage: Bacteria; Pseudomonadati; Pseudomonadota; Gammaproteobacteria; Enterobacterales; Enterobacteriaceae.
UUAAAUUGAAGAGUUUGAUCAUGGCUCAGAUUGAACGCUGGCGGCAGGCCUAACACAUGCAAGUCGAACGGUAACAGGAAACAGCUUGCUGUUUCGCUGACGAG